GGUUCUCGCCAGAUCACCGAAGUUAAGCAACAUCGAGCCUGGUCAGUACCUAGAUCGGUGGCUACUUGGGAAUACCAGCUGCUGUAAG
Non-coding RNA from Acanthosepion pharaonis, 88 nucleotides. Lineage: Eukaryota; Metazoa; Mollusca; Cephalopoda; Sepiida; Sepiidae. The record is from the annotation of a GenBank genome assembly.